AUUCCACCUCUUUCUCUGGUCCAGAAGUUAGACAGCCACUUGAAGUUAUUUCGUGGAUAAUCAGUGGAAGGAGAAGGAGGUCUCCAGAGGAAAAUUCAUCCCAUUUUAAGAUAGCUAUUUGAAGAAAAUUCAAGUUGCUAAGCAACCUCAUCUGGAUUCCUUUACUCUCACAGACUAUGGAGGGAACCUUGCUGAGAAAGUCAACUGUUUGCCUACCUUCCAACUGCUUAUGGAAAUGAUAUGGUACUUGGGAGAUCAAGACUACAACUCUUCUGACUACAUAGAUGACUGCAACUAAUACAUAGAUGCCUUAGAGAAAACACAAAAAUGCUCUCUAAGAUAAUGAAAAAAAGAGAUAUAUCUGAAAAAGAAGGAAAAUUCAAAAUUAUUCAGAUCAAGGAAAUGAUCCAGAAGAUGAUGAAGAGCUACAGCCUCAAACUCAGAUUACAACCUUUUCUGGACAGUUUGGAGGAUAUUUAUCUAGAGCUACAUUCUGCAAAGUAAUAUGCAUAACUUCCAGUGGUAUAGCCUUCUACAGACUAUGUGUACAUCUAAUCCCUCUGAGAAACAAUGAAUUUAAAUGUGAACUCUCUUCAUAUGAGUAAAAAUGUUCAACACAAGAAUAAUUUGUCUAGAAUGUCUUGUGAUCCCUGUAAGUAGGAGACCUGAGACCUGACUGGACAAGUUUCUGUCAAGAAGAUACAUGAUCCACAGCAAUCCUGUUUGGUGACAGUGAGAAGACUAGAUCACUUCUAGACCAAUUUUAAGUUAUCCUAUUAUUAAAGUUAGCGAUAAAUUUCCAUGAAAUCUCCAAUGAAUUCUCAGACAAUCAGUUCUGACAAUAACUCUCACUGCACUUCAAAUGGAGGCCACUCAAUAUUUCACAGAGAUUAUAGUUCUGCCUCAAAAUUCCCCUUCACAUAUGAUUAAAAAGCAUCAAUAUUAACUCUUAACUGUGGUCAGAUACUAACAUAGUAGAGAUAAAUACCUGAUUUUCUUAAUUUCUUUGGAAAUUUAGAUUUGCACACUGCCCAGUUCAUUUUACUAUAUCAGCUUCCACUUUUUGAAGUGAAGUACCCUAUCUGCUGCUUUAAACACCUAGCCAAAUUUUUAACUACUGUCAAUAAAAACCAUCUGAAAAAAUGAAUCUUCUGCAUGUUAAGACAACCAUAUAAAAUCUUACAAGCAAGUCAUAAAAAUGUAGCAAAUAGUUUUGUCACUACAAAGACAAGAAAUACUGAGCAUUUUCUGACCUCCAACUCCUUGGCACGAACAUCAAUGCACACAGACAUGGGCAAAAAACAGGAGGAGCUGGAAGACACUGGACAGCAAGAAACUGUCAUGAAUUGUCAUCGUGGAAACAUGGUGGAAUGACUCCCACAACUGGAAUGCCACAGUGGAUGGCUAUAAAUCCUUCAGAAGGUACCAGCAAGGAAGGACAGGCAGUGGGGUAGCCCUGUAUAUUGGGGAGGAGUUUGAGUGUCUAGACCUUAAUGAUGGUGAUGAAAAUCAAGUGUUUAGGGGUAAGAAUCAAGGGGAAGGCUGACAAGGCAGACAUCCUGGUGGGAGCAUGUCAUAGACCACCCAGCCAAGAUAAAAAGACAGCAGAAAUAUUCUUCAAGCUGGGAGAAGUCUCAUGAAGUCCUCAUGGAGGACUUCAACUUACCAGAUGUCUGCUGGAAAUACAUCACAGCAGAGAGGAGUCAGUGUAGGAGGAAUUGAGGGGUGUGUAGAAAAUAACUUCCUGAUACAGCUGGUGAGUUAGCAAACUAGGGCAGAUGUGCCACUGGACCUGUGUGUGGACAGAGAAGGACUAGUGAGCGAUGUGAUGGUUAGAGGCUGUCUUGAUAAUUUUUGAUUCAUGAGAAGUAAAGAGGGAAGCCAGCAGAAUUGCUACCCUGAACUUCCAGAAUGACACAAAAAGACUGAGGUACAUAGUAGCUUCUUUUUCUCAGGCUUUAAUAGCAAGACCAGUUGGUUUUGGGUACCCUGAGCUGGAAGACUGGGACAGGGAGCAGAAUAAUGCCCCUGUAAUCUAAGGGACCUGCUUUGUCAAUUAGCAGUGCAUCUAUGGUGCCAGAUACAAAGACUACACUUGUAAGUACUUUUGCCUUAAAAUAAUAAUGAAAAGUUGAAAUCUGUCUAACUUAAGUUAAAGCUGAUGAAAAUAUGCUUUGCUAUCAUCUCUUCAAAAGCUAUGUUAAGAUAUAUUUGAAUUAAUAAAUUGUACCAGUUUGUAAAACAGUUUUCAGGUUACCUCUGAAAUUUAUUAGAUACUGAUGGGUUUUUGGAGUGAUAUUAUUUAAAGUACAGACAGCCACAAGGCUCCCACAUCUAAUAUAAUUAAAUUAGCUGCUGUCUGUGGUAUAUGAAGUUUUCUUCCGGACAACAAAUUUCUGAUUAAGAUGCCUGUUGUCAAAAAAUGUGGAUGGGAAGAAGUUUGGGUAUUGAGAGAUUUAUUUGGGAAAGAACAGUAUUGACAAACCAUGUGUUCAGAGGUGAUUAAUCAUUCAUUGAUAUUAAUAAAAAUAUAAUUGAUUUUCUUCUAUUUGAUGAAAUAUAGGUCUGGUCAAUAGUUAAUCAGACACCAGAUCCUGUAAAUCCUGCACAAUUACUUGCAAGUACUUACCCUUCUUCAAGAUUAAGUAAUUUGACUGUCAGUGCACAAUUUUGCUUUGUGUUUGAGUGGCUUUAUAUUUUGUUACCCUGUGAUGAUAUGAAAACAGGACUUCAAAGAAAAACUGCUGUUUUUCAAUUUGUAGAUGAACAGAAUCAUGAGAACUGGCCUCCAAACACUAAUUUUAAUGGUUCACUCCUUUGAAUGUAUUGAUGGUAUUUUAAAUCUCUACCAUCUUUUAGAAACUGUUCAGUUCCUGCAUUUAGGAAAGUGGAAUUUGAAACAAGAGCUUUGGAACUUAAACAGGGUAACAAUAAACCUUUGAAAGAGUAAAAAUUUAUUCUGGAUGAGAUAUCCUACCUUCCUGCUUCAUGUCCCUGGCUGUAUUCAUAUUUUUCUGUCCAGAUCACAGCUCAAAUUCUUAUAUCCUCAGGUUAUCCUUGUAAAAAUUCUGAUUAUCUUUCAGAUAGCUUUUUUGAGUCUCCCUGACUUGAGUCUGGAAGCCUUACAGCAAUGGGACACCAGACAAGCAAACAUUUGAAAACAGUUACCCUACUCCUCCAGUUUUUGUAGUGUUGUUGAGGAAACACAAAGGAACAUUUCUACUGAAAGUCUCCCAGGUGAACUGACCUCUUUUAUCUGAGGUGAAUACAUUGCUAUUAAAAGAAAAAGCUUUCUAAGGGAUGAACACAAGUACUAUAAUAGGUCCCACUUAAUUUAAAAUAAGCAAGUACAUCCUUGCCAUAAUUCAACUCCUGGUUGCUACCUCCCAGAUUAUUGAACAUUUCUAACUAUUCCCAUUUGGAGAAGAAAUAUGGGAAUUCAGGUCCCUGUAUGUUCUGGCCUUUGACCUGGCUGUGGCCGUAUGGGCAAUUGAACAAAUGUCCAUGAAACACUCAGUUUGUCCCUCCACUACUGCAGUGGAGAAAUUUGCCUUGGGGAGUAUGUUCUAGCUGAACAUUACUUCCAGUGGUAAUUAAACCAUUCAGAAAUCCCUGCAAAGGUCACUGCAGUUACAAGUUAAAAAUAACCAGUUUCUUACAAAUUUAAUGUAAAAACUACUCUUGAAUCCAGCUAGUUCUAAAUCUAACAAAAUCUAGGCAGACUUGAAUGGGUGUCUCUAUUUUCAAUUUUUAGAAAUAUCUAUGUUUCAGGAAACUCUGGAAAACUGGUGAUGCCUUUAGAGGCUGACCUAGAACAGACACUAGACAGAGCUAAAAGAAUAAAGUGGUUAUUUAUUAAAAGGCUUUAAAGGAUACA
This is a long non-coding RNA of Zonotrichia albicollis (white-throated sparrow), 3877 nucleotides long. RefSeq lists it as uncharacterized. NCBI's taxonomy places the organism in Eukaryota, Metazoa, Chordata, Aves, Passeriformes, Passerellidae. The record is from RefSeq and is a predicted model, not a curated record.